This 467-nucleotide ribosomal RNA is filed under the name uncultured bacterium. RNAcentral describes it as "partial 16S ribosomal RNA". It matches the Rfam family "Bacterial small subunit ribosomal RNA", at positions 28 to 506 of the family's 1533-position model. The record is from RNAcentral.
GACGAACGCUGGCGGCGUGCUUAACACAUGCAAGUCGAACGGAAAGGCCCUGCUUUUGUGGGGUGCUCGAGUGGCGAACGGGUGAGUAACACGUGAGUAACCUGCCCUUGACUUUGGGAUAACUUCAGAAAACUGGGGCUAAUACCGGAUAGGAGCUCCUGCUGCAUGGUGGGGGUUGGAAAGUUUCGGCGGUUGGGGAUGGACUCGCGGCUUAUCAGCUUGUUGGUGGGGUAGUGGCUUACCAAGGCUUUGACGGGUAGCCGGCCUGAGAGGGUGACCGGCCACAUUGGGACUGAGAUACGGCCCAGACUCCUACGGGAGGCAGCAGUGGGGAAUAUUGCACAAUGUGCGGAAGCCUGAUGCAGCAACGCCGCGUGCGGGAUGACGGCCUUCGGGUUGUAAACCGCUUUCGCCUGUGACGAAGCGUGAGUGACGGUAAUGGGUAAAGAAGCACCGGCUAACUACGU